UGAACGCUAUCGGUAUGCUUAACACAUGCAAGUCGAACGGCAGCGCAAGGAGCUUGUAGCUCCCAGGCGGCGAGUGGCGGACGGGUGAGUAAUGCGUAGGAAUCUGCCUUAUAGUGGGGGAUAACCCGAGGAAACUCGGGCUAAUACCGCAUAAUCUCCGUCUGUGUUUGGAUGGAGUAAAGUGGGGGAUCUUCGGACCUCGCGCUAUGAGAUGAGCCUAUGUCGGAUUAGCUUGUUGGUGUAGGUAAGGGCUCACCAAGGCGACGAUCCGUAGCUGGUCUGAGAGGACGAUCAGCCACACUGGGACUGAGACACGGCCCAGACUCCUACGGGAGGCAGCAGUGGGGAAUCUUGGACAAUGGGGGGAACC
This 370-nucleotide ribosomal RNA is filed under the name uncultured Coxiella sp. RNAcentral's name for it is "bacterial SSU rRNA". It matches the Rfam family "Bacterial small subunit ribosomal RNA", at positions 30 to 382 of the family's 1533-position model. Lineage: Bacteria; Pseudomonadati; Pseudomonadota; Gammaproteobacteria; Legionellales; Coxiellaceae. The record is from RNAcentral.